UAGUUGGCAAACCAUCUCCUGUCUUAUCUCCUGAGCUUUCCCACCGUGUUUUGACCACCACCCCACAGGACGAGUGAGUGGCUGGCUGUUAGCCAAAGCUGACCCCCCACACCUCCCAGCGCUGAUAUAGAAACAUCCCAAAAGGUGAACAGCUGACUAGAGACUGUGCUUCUUCACAAUCUGGUCAGUCACAAAUGUUCCUUCAGAAAAGGCCUGAGCCAUAAGAGGUUUGCCAGCUGCUGCAUAUACAGCUAUUGUACAACAUAAGCUGAAACAUUCCCAUGGGAGAAAAUAGAACUAUAUUUUUUUCUACGUGAAAAUGAAAGAGAACAAACUUGCCAGAGAGCAGCCUUGUGAUACAGGGUUAAGCUGG
Molecule: long non-coding RNA, 373 nt
Organism: Lepidothrix coronata (blue-crowned manakin)
Lineage: Eukaryota; Metazoa; Chordata; Aves; Passeriformes; Pipridae
Exons: 4
Source: RefSeq, a predicted model, not a curated record